AUUGAACGCUGGCGGCAGGCCUAACACAUGCAAGUCGAACGAGUGGCGGACGGGUGAGUAAUGUCUGGGAACCUGCCCGAUGGCGGGGGAUAACUACUGGAAACGGUAGCUAAUACCGCAUACUAUCAGAUGUGCCCAGAUGGGAUUAGCUGGUUGGUGGGGUAACGGCUCACCAAGGCGACGAUCCCUAGCUGGUCUGAGAGGAUGACCAGCCACACUGGGACUGAGACACGGCCCAGACUCCUACGGGAGGCAGCAGUGGGGAAUUUUGGACAAUGGGGGCAAGCCUGAUGCAGCCAUGCCGCGUGUAUGAAGAAGGCCUUCGGGUUGUAAAGUACUUUCGGCAGGGAGGCGUUAUCUGCAGAAGAAGCACCGGCUAACUCCGUGCCAGCAGCCGCGGUAAUAC
This 406-nucleotide ribosomal RNA is filed under the name uncultured bacterium. Its description in RNAcentral is "partial 16S ribosomal RNA". It matches the Rfam family "Bacterial small subunit ribosomal RNA", at positions 30 to 526 of the family's 1533-position model. The record is from RNAcentral.